GUGGGGAAUCUUGCGCAAUGGGCGAAAGCCUGACGCAGCCAUGCCGCGUGAAUGAUGAAGGUCUUAGGAUUGUAAAAUUCUUUCACCGGGGACGAUAAUGACGGUACCCGGAGAAGAAGCUCCGGCUAACUUCGUGCCAGCAGCCGCGGUAAUACGAAGGGGGCUAGCGUUGCUCGGAAUUACUGGGCGUAAAGGGCGCGUAGGCGGACAGCUUAGUCAGAGGUGAAAGCCCAGGGCUCAACCUUGGAAUUGCCUUUGAUACUGGCUGUCUUGAGUUUGGGAGAGGUGAGUGGAACUCCGAGUGUAGAGGUGAAAUUCGUAGAUAUCCGGAGGAACACCAGUGGCGAAGGCGGCUUCCUGGACAGUAACUGACGCUGAGACGCGAAAGCGUGGGGAGCAAACAGGAUUAGAAACCCGAGUAGUCC
RNAcentral lists this ribosomal RNA (425 nucleotides) under uncultured bacterium. RNAcentral describes it as "partial 16S ribosomal RNA". It matches the Rfam family "Bacterial small subunit ribosomal RNA", at positions 354 to 796 of the family's 1533-position model. The record is from RNAcentral.